This 163-nucleotide small nuclear RNA is filed under the name Nicotiana benthamiana. Its description in RNAcentral is "partial U1 snRNA". It matches the Rfam family "U1 spliceosomal RNA". Rfam says of the family: U1 is a small nuclear RNA (snRNA) component of the spliceosome (involved in pre-mRNA splicing). Its 5' end forms complementary base pairs with the 5' splice junction, thus defining the 5' donor site of an intron. The record is from RNAcentral. Lineage: Eukaryota; Viridiplantae; Streptophyta; Magnoliopsida; Solanales; Solanaceae.
AUACUUACCUGGACGGGGUCAAUGGGCGAUCAACAAGACUCAUGGCCUAGGUUAGUGACUUCCAUUGCACUUUGGAGGGGUGCCUGCCUAAGGUCGGCCCAAGUGGUCGAGCCUACGUCAUAAUUUGUGGUAGCGGGAGCCUGCGUUCGCGCGGCUCCUACCC